Molecule: transfer RNA, 73 nt
Filed under: Mariniblastus sp.
Lineage: Bacteria; Pseudomonadati; Planctomycetota; Planctomycetia; Pirellulales; Pirellulaceae
Also listed under: 1 other name
Description: tRNA-Ala
Rfam family: tRNA
About the family: Transfer RNA (tRNA) molecules are approximately 80 nucleotides in length. Their secondary structure includes four short double-helical elements and three loops (D, anti-codon, and T loops). Further hydrogen bonds mediate the characteristic L-shaped molecular structure. tRNAs have two regions of fundamental functional importance: the anti-codon, which is responsible for specific mRNA codon recognition, and the 3' end, to which the tRNAs corresponding amino acid is attached (by aminoacyl-tRNA synthetases). tRNAs cope with the degeneracy of the genetic code in two manners: having more than one tRNA (with a specific anti-codon) for a particular amino acid; and 'wobble' base-pairing, i.e. permitting non-standard base-pairing at the 3rd anti-codon position.
Source: RNAcentral
GGGGACGUAGCUCAAUUGGGAGAGCACCGCCUUUGCAAGGCGGGGGUUAGGGGUUCGAGUCCCCUCGUCUCCA